Non-coding RNA from Pelobates cultripes (western spadefoot toad), 208 nucleotides. NCBI's taxonomy places the organism in Eukaryota, Metazoa, Chordata, Amphibia, Anura, Pelobatidae. The record is from the annotation of a GenBank genome assembly.
AUCUAUGCCAGGGGUCAGCAAACCAUGGCACUCAAAGUACCUUUGUACGGCACAUGACUGCCAGAGAGACAAACACGCUCUGGCCUAUCAGGAGUCCCAGUAGGACUUCAGAUAUCUGCUAGUGCAAACCAAGUGCUUGCAGGUGGUGAGGGACAAUCCUCAAUUUACGCAUUGCGGCACUUGUGAACGAGAAUCCGCACUGGAGUAG